This 76-nucleotide transfer RNA is filed under the name Puniceicoccales bacterium. RNAcentral's name for it is "tRNA-Thr". It matches the Rfam family "tRNA". Rfam says of the family: Transfer RNA (tRNA) molecules are approximately 80 nucleotides in length. Their secondary structure includes four short double-helical elements and three loops (D, anti-codon, and T loops). Lineage: Bacteria; Pseudomonadati; Verrucomicrobiota; Opitutia; Puniceicoccales. The record is from RNAcentral.
GCCCUUGUAGCUCAGUUGGUAGAGCGCAUCCUUGGUAAGGAUGAGGUCGGCGGUUCAAAUCCGCUCGGGGGCUCCA